GUGCCAGCAGCCUGUGAUGUCUGCAGGUAGCAGAGCAGCUCCAGCACACCCAUCCCUUUCCACAGCCCCUGGCACAGCAGCGUAAUGUGGGGGCAGAUGGAUGGGCUGUGGUAGGAUGAGCCCUGCCCUGCUCCUGCUUCUAUUCCUGGCCAGCUGCUCCCUGCUCCAGGGGACGCUGCUGCGGCCACGGCACGUGAGGCUGGAGGCACAGAACUUCCACGUCUGGCUACACUGGGAGCCAGACCCCAGCUCACCCAUCUCUGCCACCUACGAGGUGGAGUGGAGGAACAGAACCUCGAACUGGACCAAGGCAGGUGCCUGCGGGGGGAACAGGAUAAGCUCUUGGGUGUGUGAGCUGUAUUUUGACAGGAUUCAUGAUAUCUACUGGGCACGGGUGAGAGUGGUGGCCGGAGGUGAGCAGUCCGAGUGGGCCAGUUCCAGCGAGCUGCAGCUGUACAGAGACACAAUUAUUGGCCCCCCCAAGUUGUCCUGGCUGCUCCAGGAUCAAAUCCUCAGUGUAAAAAUCAUCACACCACUCACUCCCUACAAGAAAAGAACUGGUUCCUACAAGCCAGUCAACCGAGUGCUGCUGAAGCUGUGGUACUGGCUUCACCUGUACGAGGAGGACCUGCUUGUCCAGCAGGUGCCCUGCAAACGGAGCAGUGAGAAAGUGCCUUGCACCUUUGGGCACCUGAAGCCCAGCACACAGUACUGUGUCCGGACGGUGGCUGCAGACAUUGCCAGGGAGCGGAGCCGGGAGGUUGAGCGGUGCCUGGUGACUCCAGCAGGCCCUGCAGGCUUUCCAUGGGUCCUUGCCGUGCUGAGCGCCUUCUUCCUGCUGCUGCUGCUAAGUGUGGCCGGGCUGUGCUUCAUCCAGCUGCAUGUGUUCCCCAGUCCUCCGGAGAUGUGCCUCCCAAAAGCACUGGUGAGUGACCGUUCUCCUCCAGCUUGGAGCCGAGCCAGGGUUCCCUGCAUUUUUAGGGGCUCAGCACCUCCUUUCCUCCAACUCUCACACCACCAGCACCCCCCNCCCCGCUCCCGGAGCCGCCCGGAGCCGCCCGGCCAGCGCUGGCUCCUGUCCCCAGCGGCUGCUCCCACGGGCAGCCACACGCAUGGGACACAACUUUCCGCUGGGGUUUUGGUGCCCUUGAGACACAGCAGAAGGAGCAUGGACCAAAGCUGA
This 1183-nucleotide long non-coding RNA is filed under the name Cyanistes caeruleus (blue tit). Its description in RNAcentral is "lncRNA (ENSCCEG00000019982.1)". Lineage: Eukaryota; Metazoa; Chordata; Aves; Passeriformes; Paridae. The record is from RNAcentral.